UACAGAGGUGGCAAGCGUUGUUCGGAAUUACUGGGCGUAAAGGGCGCGUAGGCGGUGUGUCAAGUCAGGCGUGAAAGCCCCGGGCUCAACCUGGGAACCGCGCUUGAGACUGGCACGCUCGAGUUCGGGAGAGGAUGGUGGAAUUCCCAGUGUAGAGGUGAAAUUCGUAGAUAUUGGGAAGAACACCGAUGGCGAAGGCAGCCAUCUGGACCGACACUGACGCUGAGGCGCGAAAGCGUGGGGAGCAAACAGG
This 253-nucleotide ribosomal RNA is filed under the name uncultured bacterium. Its description in RNAcentral is "partial 16S ribosomal RNA". It matches the Rfam family "Bacterial small subunit ribosomal RNA", at positions 524 to 776 of the family's 1533-position model. The record is from RNAcentral.